AACCUUAUGGACCUGCGGGCGUAUACCUGCGGAAGGAUCAUUAAAAAGAGUGUGUACCCCCCUGUAAAAUGGGUGGGUUACCUCCCGUCCUUUGUUGACCUCUUAGGAGGUUAUUUUGAACUUUUCUGCUUCGGUGGGGUUAAACCUACCGGAACACCCUCAAAUUCUGAUCAUUUAAAAAUUGUUCAGUCCGAUUUUUGUUAAUAAAAACAAAAAACUUUUAACAACGGAUCUCAGAUC
RNAcentral lists this unclassified non-coding RNA (240 nucleotides) under soil metagenome. RNAcentral describes it as "partial contains 5.8S ribosomal RNA, internal transcribed spacer 2, and large subunit ribosomal RNA". The record is from RNAcentral.